This 495-nucleotide ribosomal RNA is filed under the name uncultured bacterium. RNAcentral's name for it is "partial 16S ribosomal RNA". It matches the Rfam family "Bacterial small subunit ribosomal RNA", at positions 28 to 507 of the family's 1533-position model. The record is from RNAcentral.
GACGAACGCUGGCGGCGUGCCUAAUACAUGCAAGUAGAACGCUGAAGGAGGAGCUUGCUUCUCUGGAUGAGUUGCGAACGGGUGAGUAACGCGUAGGUAACCUGCCUGGUAGCGGGGGAUAACUAUUGGAAACGAUAGCUAAUACCGCAUAAGAGUAGAUGUCGCAUGACAUUUGCUUAAAAGGUGCAAUUGCAUCACUACCAGAUGGACCUGCGUUGUAUUAGCUAGUUGGUGAGGUAACGGCUCACCGAGGCAACGAUACAUAGCCGACCUGAGAGGGUGAUCGGCCACACUGGGACUGAGACACGGCCCAGACUCCUACGGGAGGCAGCAGUAGGGAAUCUUCGGCAAUGGACGGAAGUCUGACCGAGCAACGCCGCGUGAGUGAAGAAGGUUUUCGGAUCGUAAAGCUCUGUUGUAAGAGAAGAACGAGUGUGAGAGUGGAAAGUUCACACUGUGACGGUAUCUUACCAGAAAGGGACGGCUAACUACGUG